Molecule: ribosomal RNA, 568 nt
Filed under: Grasidius hybridus
Lineage: Eukaryota; Metazoa; Arthropoda; Insecta; Coleoptera; Erirhinidae
Description: partial large subunit ribosomal RNA
Source: RNAcentral
GGGUUUAUUAAUUAAAAUUUUUGAAUAAAAAUUUUUCGAAUUUAAAAGAGUUAUGAAAAUAUAUAUAUUAUUGUAAAAUAAAUAUUUUAAAUAUUUUUAUUGAAGUGAAAUGCUAUUCGAUUUUAAAUAUAUCUAGUUUUUUAAGAAAAAGAUUUAAUCUUAUUUUUAUUUAAUUAUAAUAUUAAAUUUUUAUUAUUAUAAUAGUAAAUUUUCAUAUUUUAAGGGAUGAGCUUUAAAAUAAAUUUAUAUAAUUUUAUAGGAAAAAUUUAAUAAAUAGAAUUAUAAGUUUGAAGUUUUUAUAGUGUUUUAUAACAAGUUAAAUUGAUUUUAAGAUUUUUAUAAAGUUUAUAUUAUUUAUUAAAAUAUAUAUUUAAAUUAUUUAAGUUUAGAAAUAAUGAUAAAAUUAGUAUAAAUUUAUAUUAUUUAUUAUAAUAGAAAUUUCUAGGUUAAAUAAAGGAAUUCGGCAAAUGUAAUUUUCACCUGUUUAUUAAAAACAUGGCCUUUUGAGUAUAAUUUAAGGUCUGACCUGCCCUAUGAGGAUUAAAUGGCCGCGGUAUUUUGACCGUGC